Molecule: microRNA precursor, 61 nt
Filed under: Homo sapiens (human)
Lineage: Eukaryota; Metazoa; Chordata; Mammalia; Primates; Hominidae
Also listed under: 1 other name
Description: Hsa-Mir-134_pre stem-loop
Rfam family: mir-134 microRNA precursor family
Source: RNAcentral
UGUGACUGGUUGACCAGAGGGGCAUGCACUGUGUUCACCCUGUGGGCCACCUAGUCACCAA